Non-coding RNA from Oryza meridionalis, 189 nucleotides. The record is from Rfam. NCBI's taxonomy places the organism in Eukaryota, Viridiplantae, Streptophyta, Magnoliopsida, Poales, Poaceae.
UUUAAAUGUAACUGUUUUCGUAUCCAACUUUGAUCAUUCGUCUUAUUUGAAAAUUUUUUAUAAUUAGUACUUUUGUUGUUAUGAAAUGAUAAAAUAUGAACGGUACUUUGCUUUUGACUAUAUUUUUAAAUUUUUUUAAAUAAAACGUAGGAUUAAAGUUGGACGUGGAAAAAUACAACUGUACUUAAA